This 253-nucleotide ribosomal RNA is filed under the name uncultured bacterium. Its description in RNAcentral is "partial 16S ribosomal RNA". It matches the Rfam family "Bacterial small subunit ribosomal RNA", at positions 524 to 776 of the family's 1533-position model. The record is from RNAcentral.
UACGGAGGGUGCAAGCGUUGUUCGGAAUCACUGGGCGUAAAGCGCGUGUAGGCGGCCAUUUAAGUCUGGUGUGAAAGCCCUGGGCUCAACCCAGGAAGUGCACUGGAUACUGGAUGGCUGGAGUACCGGAAAGGAGGGUGGAAUUCCUGGUGUAGCGGUGAAAUGCGUAGAUAUCAGGAGGAACACCGGUGGCGAAGGCGUCCCUCUGGCCGGAUACUGACGCUGAGACGCGAAAGCGUGGGGAGCAAACAGG